This 52-nucleotide non-coding RNA is filed under the name unclassified sequences. RNAcentral's name for it is "L31-Actinobacteria ribosomal protein leader". It matches the Rfam family "L31-Actinobacteria ribosomal protein leader". The record is from RNAcentral.
CCGGCUCCGGUUCACGUCCGCAAGUGCGAAAUGCACGGGCGACCCGGCGGCC